GUCCCUAUAGCUCAGUAGGAUAGAGCAUCGGCCUUCUAAGCCGAGUGUCGCAAGUUCGAAUCUUGCUAGGGACG
RNAcentral lists this transfer RNA (74 nucleotides) under Priestia megaterium. RNAcentral describes it as "Bacillus megaterium tRNA-Arg". It matches the Rfam family "tRNA". Rfam says of the family: Transfer RNA (tRNA) molecules are approximately 80 nucleotides in length. Their secondary structure includes four short double-helical elements and three loops (D, anti-codon, and T loops). The record is from RNAcentral. Lineage: Bacteria; Bacillati; Bacillota; Bacilli; Caryophanales; Bacillaceae.